GGCCUUCUAUUAACAGAAAAAUGCCAGUUUGGAACAGCAGAAACCUAAAAUCCGAAGCCUCACCGGAAUCGACUCGAGAACGUUGAAAAAAUAACCCAAAACGUUCAAGUGAAGAAGAUACAGCCAGAUAUCGCGAUGGAAGUCUCAGAUCAACAUACGAUUUAGAUCGGAAUCAUCAUUGACCAGAUACGUCAGAAACACCCCAAAAAAUUUCCAACGAGACUUCAACCGAGAUAACAAGAUACAGGAAAGCAUCGUCGGAUCAUCUUCCUUGCUCUGAUACCAUUAAAACAUCAAGAAAUCCAG
RNAcentral lists this long non-coding RNA (306 nucleotides) under Nicotiana benthamiana. RNAcentral describes it as "long non-coding RNA (NBEN_LNC028161)". The record is from RNAcentral. Lineage: Eukaryota; Viridiplantae; Streptophyta; Magnoliopsida; Solanales; Solanaceae.